This 542-nucleotide ribosomal RNA is filed under the name uncultured bacterium. RNAcentral's name for it is "bacterial SSU rRNA". It matches the Rfam family "Bacterial small subunit ribosomal RNA", at positions 91 to 667 of the family's 1533-position model. The record is from RNAcentral.
GGGAGCGGCGGACGGGUGAGUAACACGUGGGAAUGCUGGCUCAAGGUACGGAACAACUCAGGGAAACUUGGGCUAAUACCGUAUGAUGCAGAGAUGCCAAAGAUUUAUCGCCUUGGGAUAAGCCCGCGUCAGAUUAGGUAGUUGGUGGGGUAAUGGCCUGCCAAGCCUGUGAUCUGUAGCUGGUCUGAGAGGACGAUCAGCCACAUUGGGACUGAGACACGGCCCAAACUCCUACGGGAGGCAGCAGUGGGGAAUCUUGCGCAAUGGACGAAAGUCUGACGCAGCCAUGCCGCGUGAAUGAUGAAGGUCUUAGGAUUGUAAAGUUCUUUAGCCUGUGACGAUGAUGACGGUAACAGGAGAAUAAGCCCCGGCUAACUUCGUGCCAGCAGCCGCGGUAAUACGAAGGGGGCUAGCGUUGUUCGGAAUUACUGGGCGUAAAGCGCGCGUAGGCGGUUUUACAAGCCAGAGGUGAAAUGCCUGAGCUCAACUUAGGAAUUGCCUUUGGAACUGUAUGGCUUGAGGACGAGAGAGGUGAGUGGAAU